This 497-nucleotide ribosomal RNA is filed under the name uncultured bacterium. RNAcentral's name for it is "partial 16S ribosomal RNA". It matches the Rfam family "Bacterial small subunit ribosomal RNA", at positions 28 to 507 of the family's 1533-position model. The record is from RNAcentral.
GAUGAACGCUGGCGGCGUGCCUAAUACAUGCAAGUCGAGCGAACAGACGAGGAGCUUGCUCCUCUGACGUUAGCGGCGGACGGGUGAGUAACACGUGGAUAACCUACCUAUAAGACUGGGAUAACUUCGGGAAGCCGGAGCUAAUACCGGAUAAUAUAUUGAACCGCAUGGUUCAAUAGUGAAAGACGGUUUUGCUGUCACUUAUAGAUGGAUCCGCGCCGCAUUAGCUAGUUGGUAAGGUAACGGCUUACCAAGGCAACGAUGCGUAGCCGACCUGAGAGGGUGAUCGGCCACACUGGCACUGAGACACGGUCCAGACUCCUACGGGAGGCAGCAGUAGGGAAUCUUCCGCAAUGGGCGAAAGCUUGACGGAGCAACGCCGCGUGAGUGAUGAAGGUCUUCGGAUCGUAAAACUCUGUUAUUAGGGAAGAACAAAUGUGUAAGUAACUAUGCACGUCUUGACGGUACCUAAUCAGAAAGCCACGGCUAACUACGUG